This 533-nucleotide ribosomal RNA is filed under the name uncultured bacterium. RNAcentral's name for it is "bacterial SSU rRNA". It matches the Rfam family "Bacterial small subunit ribosomal RNA", at positions 346 to 892 of the family's 1533-position model. The record is from RNAcentral.
AGGCAGCAGUGGGGAAUCUUCCGCAAUGGGCGAAAGCCUGACGGAGCAACGCCGCGUGAGUGAUGAAGGCCUUCGGGUUGUAAAACUCUGUCCAGGGGGAAGAAACAAAUGACGGUACCCCUGGAGGAAGCCCCGGCUAACUACGUGCCAGCAGCCGCGGUAAAACGUAGGGGGCAAGCGUUGUCCGGAAUUACUGGGCGUAAAGGGCGUGUAGGCGGCAAUGUAAGUCAGGAGUGAAACCCGUCGGCUUAACCGACGGCCUGCUUCUGAAACUGCAUAGCUUGAGUGCAGGAGAGGGAAGUGGAAUUCCCAGUGUAGCGGUGAAAUGCGUAGAUAUUGGGAGGAACACCAGUGGCGAAAGCGGCUUCCUGGCCUGUAACUGACGCUGAGGCGCGAAAGCGUGGGGAGCAAACAGGAUUAGAUACCCUGGUAGUCCACGCCGUAAACGAUGGGUGCUAGGUGUUGGGGGUAUCGACCCCUCCAGUGCCGCAGUUAACGCAAUAAGCACCCCGCCUGGGGAGUACGGCCGCCAA